UUUAGGCUUACAAGAGAAAAGCAGAAAGGAAGAGUAUUCUGAAUGGAGUGAAAUGAGACAAGUUCCAGAAGCAACACUACGUGGUAUGGGGAAAAAGUGCCCCAAAUUCCCAAAUGCAAUGUUCAAAUAAAUGUGAUCACUGGGAAGACAGUCCUGGUAUCAACAGGAAAAAAAGAUCAAAAAUAGUGAUAAAUGCACUACUCCAAAUUAUCCCUGUACAAUUAAUUCAUCCCCUUAAUCACAAUCCCCAAACUGAACCUGCUGGAAGCCAGAUCGUAUUUGAGCAAUACGGCCAGUGGCUAGAAUUCACCCUCGCCUUCCUUACAACUUUCUACCAAAAUCAGGGGCCUCCUCCGACUAGAGGUGAGUACGCACGGCUCCACGUUCACAGUGCACGACGCACAGCUUACGCUCGGAAUCUCUCCCCGCGUCAUCAGUGGCCCAUGAAUUGCUUCCCUAUCCUAUGGGCAUCUUCCAGCUGUCCGUUCCUCCCUACCGCGUACUUCCUCCAUUCAUCCUCACAGACGCACAGUAACUUAAGUGUCACUUCAAACAUUUUUUCCAACUUUCGUCUGAAGAAAAAAGGGGAGACGAACCAAAGAGGGACAACUAAUAUCACCCACAAACUUCACGUACUAUCUGGGUAAGAAUUCAACCUUCCUAAAUCUGAGUAGUGUGACCGGCUCCCUACGUUCACCGUGAUGAGAGGCGUCUGUCUGAGCCCUGGCCGCACACGGGACACACAAAAACACCGUAACUUCCCCUCCCAGAAAAGACUCGUGUCGGGCCCAUCGAGCGGUGGGCACAGAAACUGGCCCGGUCAGUGCUCCACCUUCUCCUCAACGCCUCUUUUUACUCUUCUCCUACAGAAUUCACACGUCACCCACCAAAAUGCACACACACCACAAAUGCCACCUUCUGCUGAAACAAACAAAAUCAAUAUAAACACGAUACCUGGAAUCUUAACUUCUCUCACACACGUCACCGCGUACAAUUUUUUUUUUAAUUUCCAAGACAUUUUCCCUAAGCUCUGAAAAGAACGGGUUCUUUCCUUUUGAAGCAAGAGAAAACGUGUCUAAAAAAAAAAUCCAUUUUAAGGUGAUAAUGUCGCGACCGUAAUCCACAACUGCUUCCUGCGUGUGUCAAAACGUAGACACUAUUUCAUUUCCAGACCUCAGAAACAGAUCACAAGAAAUAUAAUUUGCUCUGGCAAACAGGCUCUCAAUCAAAACAAGUUCCACCCACCUUCAAAGCAACCAAUAGCUGCCCACCUACCACCCUUCCUAAAACAUCCAAACAGAGCUGCUCUUGGGCCCAGGCAUUCCCUCCCCGCCACACGGCAACGGAACGGCCGGCGGGCGGGCUUGCCCCGCAGGUGCCCGACGGCAAGCAGGCUCGGCGCCGGGCAUCCGUGCGGGACUCGGGUGGAAACUACACCCCGAGAGGAAGAGGGGAGGGGCGGGGAAGGGGAGAAGCCCGGGGACGGCAGGACCCACGAGGUUCUCCAUCUGCCGAGGGCGGCCCCGCGCAGACCCCGUUCUCAGCGCUGACUUCGGGCCUCGCGACACCACCUACGUGGCCAGCCGGGGCCGAACGGGAGGCUCUCGGGAACAUGCACCGUGAAUGAUGAAAUGAUUCAGAAACAUCUUCAGAAGUCAGAACGAGCAGCCAAACCCACCACUGUUCCGGUGAGGCCAGAGGGAGAGAGCCUACCUGCAGGGGCUGAAUGGAUCAUCCAUGACUAACAGAGGCUCUGCAGGGUCUUCAAGAGGAAACAAGAUCAAAAGGUCCACGGAGAGGAAUGACCAUAUACACGGCGAGUGACCAGAAACCGCAGCGCACUUCUAAACGUGCCAGUAGCUUCCGAAGGGAAACCACCCCACGAAUCUCGUCUGGAAAACUUUGUAAACGUUUGGGGAAAGGCCGCACAAACGAUCCUGGCAGAGCUGUGGAGUCCUGGGUAUCGUCACAGCUACAAACACAGUGUAGACGGAGAGCAAGCGGGGUAGCCGAAGCAUGCUGCGUUUUGUGCAAAGAGCCUAAUCUCCCUUCAACGAGCCGCUCUAAAAUUGCCUCAAUAACAAAUAAAAACAUUUCCUGAAGAGAUACGAACCCAGUCGGGCAUGUCUCGCUUGAAGAAUGGACUUGUAACACUAAGAAGGGUAGGAAAGUUCAAACCAAGAGGGCAAAGGACACCUGGCCACAAACACUCGAGCGUCUAAAAAUCUCACUGGAGGUCUCCCGAUUCAAAAUUCUAGGCAAUGGUUUACAGCAUUGCCCAUGAAGCUAAAUUCAUUUGCAAUUUAAUCAGAAAAGAUUUCUCAAGCCACGUCAACAAGGCCACACCAUCCGCGUCAUACUGAGCAACGUAUCCGUAUCGUCCACAGUACCGGCCAAGACAUUUUCUGUUAAAAUCUUUAAAAACACGUUUUGUGCCCUCUCCCCACAACCUCCACCUCCAGCACAAAGGCAAACUGGGCUGUCAGCCACGUAAGAUAUUCUGGCUCUGGAGGUAAAUGCAAGCUUAGUGUCCAUUUGCAAACUAAGAGAUGAUUCUAUGUAAGAUUACUCAGUUAUGAU
Molecule: long non-coding RNA, 2580 nt
Organism: Felis catus (domestic cat)
Lineage: Eukaryota; Metazoa; Chordata; Mammalia; Carnivora; Felidae
Exons: 2
Source: RefSeq, a predicted model, not a curated record